This is a long non-coding RNA of Vicia villosa (hairy vetch), 1801 nucleotides long. RefSeq lists it as uncharacterized. Lineage: Eukaryota; Viridiplantae; Streptophyta; Magnoliopsida; Fabales; Fabaceae. The record is from RefSeq and is a predicted model, not a curated record. The transcript is spliced from 6 exons.
UAUCUCUUAUGCUACUAAGUUUUGGUUUUGUUUGCUCAAGUUAGACAAUCUUGUUUGAUUUUCAUGUGUUUAUUUUGUUAUAGAUCAAAUAUUUAAGAUAAAGUAUAAAUUAAAUUAGGACUAUGUUAUUUUUUGACCAUAGAAUGGAUAAGAGACUUCAUGUAUAUCACCGCAGUUGUAGGGCUGUUCCUUACAAAUGGAAUAAUUGUGAACGGUUGGAAGUUGUGGCGGUGGCAGUCGAGAGUGUGUUUUUUGAAGGAAAAAAGUGGUUAUUAUUAAUAAUUUAAAGUGUUUGUGUCUCAAACUAGUAAAAAAAUUAUUGUGAUUCUUGACAAAUCAUCAUCCGUCGUUUUCCAUUGCUCCUUUUAUUUCACAGAAUUUGUCACAUUUUCUUCAAACAGUAUCCUAUCUCUAAUGAACCUUGCUUGAAGCUCGUUGCUAUUCAACCCUUUAACCAAACUAUUAGCCUUAAUUGGCUUCAAACACUCAAUCCCAUUAACAUCAGAAACUAUAACCUUUGAUGCAUAUCCUUUGUUUUCUUAAAUCUCUCUUAAAAAUGAUUUUGUGCUUAGAGAUUUUUUUGAACAGCCCUACUAAACUCUUUGGCCUGUAAGAGAGAAAGAGACCAACUCUCUUUUAAGAAAUAUUUCUUCAAACCAAGGAACAGAAUUCAAUCUCACUCAAGCAAUUAUUUCAAUGAUGUAUACCUUCACUUUAAUGGCGGUGUUUGUGCUUCUGAGUUUAUCAGAUGAUUUAGCGUUGGAAUCUCUGCGUCAUUUCAAAUGGAUCGGGUCUCUGACGGCGAGUUUGACUCAGAUCGGAAGGGCUCGGACUUCUUCCUACUGAAGAGACGAAAACGAAGACCAUGGAUAUAUACCAAAGUGCAAAUAUGGUUGUGAAUGGAAGCACUGUUAAUUUGGGUUUGUGGGAUACUGCAGAACAAGAAGAUUAUAACAGAUUAAGACCUUUGAGUUAUCUGGUGCCGACGUUUUCAUUAGCAAGGCAGUUAUGAAAAUGUUUCCAACAAGGCAGCCACCACAGGAUUCCUACUAGCCCAGAUCUCACGCACCAGAAUUAAAGGAGCAUAUUAUGAACAUUCAGCCUGCCCACCCACAAUAAAAAAACCAGGGUUUUAGAGAUUGAAGAUUAGUGUUGUCAUUUGGGAGAAAACAAGAAUAGAAGAGAAGGAGACUAUGGCUUGAAGAAGAUAUUCCAAGCUUGGAGAUUUCAUCCAUGGUGUCAAGUUUAUGAUGCAAUUGGAGACCCAUAGAGUUGCUUCCAUUGAUAAGGUAAGGGUGGGGUUCUCUUCCUAUAAUGGGGCUCAUGAACAAUUGUAUGUGGGAAAUUGGGUGUGUAGAUUUAUUGCAUUUGCUUGUGCCAAUUGUUGCUGGAAAUUAUGAAUUUAUACCAUGAGUAAAUGAUUUUGAGUUGCUAUGUUGAAUCCGUUACUAUUAUUGUUUCCAAUUUGCUGUGCGUUUGAAAUAGAAUUUAAUUUGUAAAGAAAUUGAUUACUCCAUGCGUUCUGGAAAUGACUGCAAAACAAUAUAGUUGGAACAGAAUACCUUGACAGUCGGCGUGGCCAUGACGUGCGGCAUCAGCUGUGAAGGGUUGCCGAGAGGCACUCAUUACCUACAUUAUUAUGUUCAUUUGAUGCAGCUUUCUGUGUGUGCUAUAAAUUAUUUCUUUACUGUUCCACGUUGAUUGCCGUGGUACAUACAUAAUGGUUUAGUAUCAUGAGAAUGGAACAUGUUUUAAAUGAAAUAAUUUGAAAACAGUAAAAACAAUAUAAAUGAACAUUAUA